This 253-nucleotide ribosomal RNA is filed under the name Dinophysis acuminata. RNAcentral describes it as "partial Bacterial large subunit ribosomal RNA". It matches the Rfam family "Bacterial large subunit ribosomal RNA", at positions 991 to 1243 of the family's 2925-position model. The record is from RNAcentral. Lineage: Eukaryota; Dinophyceae; Dinophysales; Dinophysaceae.
GCGGGUGCUAACGUCCGUCGUGAAGAGGGAAACAACCCUGACCUACAGCUAAGGCCCCUAAUUCAUGGCUAAGUGGGAAAGCAGGUGAGACGACCAAAACAACCAGGAGGUUGGCUUAGAAGCAGCCAUCCUUUAAAGAUAGCGUAACAGCUCACUGGUCUAAAUAAGUUGUCCUGCGGCGAAGAUGUAACGGGGCUCAAGCCAUGAGCCGAAGUCUGGGAUGCAAUUUAUUGCAUGGUAGCAGAGCGUAGUG